This 824-nucleotide long non-coding RNA is filed under the name Brassica napus (rape). Its description in RNAcentral is "long non-coding RNA (BNAP_LNC025215)". The record is from RNAcentral. Lineage: Eukaryota; Viridiplantae; Streptophyta; Magnoliopsida; Brassicales; Brassicaceae.
UGAUCCACCAUAAGUCGCGAAGAUGUAUUUGCUUCCUCGACUUGUGUGUUUUGCUUAUCUUCCAUUUCUUCUUCCCCAUGUUGUGUUUCAGUCACCACUUCUACAUCUGAACAAUGUGCUUUUUUCCCUUCUGUUACCAUUUGUUGAUGCUUUGUCGUUGCACUCUGUUUUUCACUUUCAAUCUAUGUACUAUGUUUUCCUAAAACAGAGUGUUGGGCCUCCUUCACCCACCUUCUUGUUCUCCUCUCUACAUAACAGAGGGAAGUUUCCCACUAGAUUCUCCAUUUGGCACAGUAUGUGCAUUUUGAUGGGAGCCAGACACAAAUUUAACAACAAUUGUCUUCUCUCGAAGUUGAAAGACAUGGUACUUUGAUUAAUCCUUGGCUAGAUCAACCUCAACGAACACUCUAGCUUCCUUAAAAUGUUUGCAGAACGCUGUGUUUGGAUGCAGUCUCUUUGGAAACUCAACCUUGCUCGCGACAAAGCUAAGCCCUUUUCAUAAACGUGUUGAGUUUGGAACUUAUUUUUAGCUACCCACAUUGGCACUAUCGUUGGCUCUUCUUGUUCUUCCUUCACAGUGACCGGAGCUCAUUGUGUUACAACCAUCGGAAUGUUGGCAAUAUUCCACAUACCUGUGCUCAAGAUCAUGUUUCUCAUUCUUUGAUCACAGAUUUGAAACGUCACCCUCAUCUCAUCCAUCUCAAACACAUCUAUUUUAACUUUUUAAUCCCCAAGGCCAAACUUUGUUCACAAUCACAUGGAUUUUUGCUACAUGGGGUGCUGCCGAAAGAAAGCGACAGACGAGAAAAUCUUUCCACAAUGGC